AUACUACUCCUCCGUCGAACGAAAGAUGUCUCAGCUUUGGCUAAAUUUAAAUGCAUCUAUACACUAAGUCAUGUUUAGAUACAUCCAAAUUUUGAUAAACUUAAGACAUCUUUUAUUGGACGGAUGGAGUACUGU
Brachypodium distachyon (stiff brome) is the source of this 135-nucleotide non-coding RNA. The record is from Rfam. NCBI's taxonomy places the organism in Eukaryota, Viridiplantae, Streptophyta, Magnoliopsida, Poales, Poaceae.